Molecule: long non-coding RNA, 902 nt
Organism: Ruditapes philippinarum (Manila clam)
Lineage: Eukaryota; Metazoa; Mollusca; Bivalvia; Venerida; Veneridae
Exons: 5
Source: RefSeq, a predicted model, not a curated record
CAGAUCGUGUUGGAAGGGAUAAUCGGGGACAUUUUAGGUUACAUAUUAAUAGCUAACAUACAUAUAAGAUCCGGAUCGUGUUCAAUAGAUUGUGAUUUUGAUGACGAUUUUUGUAACUGGAUGCAAUUUGAUGGAGAUGACUUCAACUGGGAUAGAGGAAAUGGAAGUGCGUCUAAUAGCUACACUGGACCCUACGUUGAUAAAUCAGGAAACGGUCACUAUAUCUACAUAGACACAAGCAGUAGAAAGAGAAAUGAUACAGCAAUAUUAUUAAGCCCCCUUCAGAACGCUGGGAAAUAUUGUCUCUCGUUUUGGUAUUUCAUGUAUGGCUAUAACAUUGAUAGACUUCGCCUACAAAUAUGGAAUACGAACGGCUCAGAGCGGGGUACAAUGUAUACACUUGAAUCAGCCCAGGGCCAACAGUGGUUUCAAAAAAUAAUUUUUGUACAUUCAGUGGAUGUAUUUCAGAUAUCUUUCGAGGGCAGAGUAAAAGACGCCCGGAAUAGGUUUUGGGGGACAUAGCAAUUGAUGACGUCACAAUGGUUUCCUGUCAAGAUUGUGCGGAUCUCAAAAUAGCCAAUGCCGUCACUAAUUCAUCAAACUAUGAGUACGGUUCAGUGAUAAAGAUACAAUGUAAUAAUGGAUACAAUCUUGUGGGAGAUUCAGAGAUCGUUUGUAAGACGAUGGGAAAUUGGAGUGGAACUGCAUCAUGUAUACCAUAUGGUAUGUAAACGUUCCAAAUGUUUUGAAGGAAAUGCAAUAUAUCUGUAUUUAUGCUUUGUAUGUCCCACAAGCUCUAAGUCACUAAUUGCAUUUUCAUAUUGUGAUCAAAGCGAUGAAUGCGGCUAACAUUUUUCAGCAUUUUUACUGACCGGAGAGAUAACUCAGACGCAUAGAUAACC